GAUCCCUUAUAAUAAUAAAGAAAGUUAAAUUUCGCUCUUAGAAGUGUGCAUCUCGUGUAGUUGUAGUAGUUAAAGUAAAAGUUUAACUAGCUUUAUACACGUAGUCGAAACUGAGAGGUUGAUCGAUCACAGUGGGCCUGAAGAAAGCCCACGAUGAAAAUUACAGCAGUGAGGAAUAUUGGUCAAUAGCCUAACGGCUGAACCAGCAACUUGGAGGAAUGUAUAGCAAUAGCUAAUUGCAUCAACAAAUAGUGGAUGCAAUAUCGACUCUGUCGAAUAAAAUUCUAGGUAGAAUUAUGAUAAUGACAUUGUCUGCCUAUGUGUCUUGACCAAAUUACGUGCCAGCAGUCGCGGUAAUACGUAGAAGACUAGUGUUAUUCAUCUUUAAUAGGUUUAAAGGGUACCUAGACGGUAAAUCAAGCCUUCAAAGGGACUAAUUUGCUAGAGUUAUAUGUGAGGGGGUAUUAAAGUACUGCUGGUGUAGAGAUGAAAUUCUGUCAUACCUCUUUUCGAAAGAAAAAUUAUGGCACAGGUAUAGGCGAAAGCAUCCCCUUAUGUGUUAACUGACGUUGAAGGACGAAGGCUUUGUGUCGCGAACAGGAUUAGAUACCCCAGUAGUCAAAGCAGAAAAUGAUGAAUGUCAUAGAUUAGACAUUAGAUAGUUUAUUCUAUAAAUGAAAGUGUAAGCAUUCCACCUCAAGAGUAAUUUGGCAACAUUGGAACUGAAAUCAUUAGACCGUUUCUGAAACCAGUAGUGAAGUAUGUUGUUUAAUUUGAUGCCCCGCAAAAAACCUUACCACAAUUUGAAUAGAUAUGUUUCGAUAAAAACAUAUUUACAAGCGUUGCACGGCUGUCUUCAGUUAAUGUCGUGAGAUUUUGGUUAGUUCCAUUAAAUUAACGUAAACCCUUACUUUAUUUUCAUAUAAAGUAGUUCCCCACUAGAUUGGAUAAGAUAACAGGGACUAAGAC
RNAcentral lists this ribosomal RNA (969 nucleotides) under Lecanora caesiorubella. RNAcentral describes it as "SSU rRNA". It matches the Rfam family "Bacterial small subunit ribosomal RNA", at positions 187 to 1165 of the family's 1533-position model. The record is from RNAcentral. Lineage: Eukaryota; Fungi; Ascomycota; Lecanoromycetes; Lecanorales; Lecanoraceae.